Psammomys obesus (fat sand rat) is the source of this 2164-nucleotide long non-coding RNA. RefSeq lists it as uncharacterized. The transcript is spliced from 3 exons. NCBI's taxonomy places the organism in Eukaryota, Metazoa, Chordata, Mammalia, Rodentia, Muridae. The record is from RefSeq and is a predicted model, not a curated record.
AUUGAUUAACCUGCCCUGGUUUGAGGAGAGUUGGAGUUGAUGUUCACGUGAGACGUGCUAGGAAGGUCGCUGUGGCUGGCCGACUGAUGUGGAUUCCCUCCCGAGCUGCAUUUGGUAAUGCCUGCUGAGCUUGCCUGCGUGUAUAUAUGUACUGCACAUGCAUGCCUGGUACCUGAGGAGGUCAGAAGAGGUCAUUGGAUACUCUGGAACAGAAGUUAUAAGUUCUACAAGAGCAACAGCCUCUAAAAAGCAUCCAUGAGCUGCGGAUGACCAGCUGAAACCUCAGCUCAUUCUCGGUCAGAGGUUCAAAGACACAGCGAGCAUAGACACACCUUGCUCUGAAGCAUCAGGCCCAUUCACAGGCUAUUGGUUUCCACAGCACUGCACACAGGCCUGCCCGUACAUCGGAGACUCUGGAAUGCCCAAAACAUGUCACUCACUCUAUCUCGUUUGUUUAUUUCUGCUACUGUGAGUGCGUGCGUGCAUGCGUGUGUGUGUGUGUGUGUGUGUGUGUGUGUGUGUGUAGGUGCUUGCUCCCUUGGUGUGCAUGCAGAGGGCAGAGCAGGAUGUUGAGACAGGGUCUCUCACUGAAACAGAAGUUCCCCAUUUCAGCUAGACUGGCUGGCCAGUAAGAUCUGGAUAUUCACCUCCUUUUGUACCCUGGUAGGCACCUCAGCAAUGCCCAGAUUUUUAUUUUUUAUUUUUUAAUAUGGGAGCUGUGGAUUUAAACUUCCUUAUUCACUGAGCCACCUCUCCAACUGUCCCCAUUCCCUACCCCCUUAAUAUAGGAUAGGGUCUUAUUAUGGAGCCCAGGCCAGACUCAUACUUAAAAUCCUCCCACCUCAGCCACCAGAGUACUGGGAUUAUAGGUGUAUGCCACCAUGCCUGCCUCUCUUGUCCCUUUGAAAGAUGAGAGGUGCUGGUUUUCUUUCCAGAAACAAGAACUGUUUAGACACAGUUCUGCUUCCCCAGGGAAAUUCAAAUCUGCUCCCAAUCUGGUGAGAGCAGAGUUCCCAUGGAACAUUGGGUUAGCAGGCUUGGACCUGCCACUUCCGGCAAGCACUCUCCUCUGGCUGGCUCGCAGGCUGAGUUUUCAGGUAUUGUCACAUGUCACAGCCUGCUUAGCUGGCCUUUGCCUCACUGAAAAAUGCCGGGAUGGAAUACGUCAGCUGGUUGUAUUUGUCCCUCAGCCACAAAGGCUCAUCCAGGGGUGCUCAGAAAUGGUCCACGUGGCUUUUGUCAGUCUGUGACAAGACUCCUGUAGCAAAUAAUGUCAUCGGCUCAUCCCUCAGACUCCCAGGUCAUCUGCUAAGGAAGACAGUGAAGGAGGAAGGAUUUGGGGCAAGGCAGCAGCUGCUGAGUCAGAAUGAUGGUAUUAGGAGACUUACAAGAGAGGCUCACAGGCCAGGUUUCUUCUGCUUCAGAGUUAGCCUUCUGCUGCCCUUCCAGGAUCUAACGGUAGAGGAGAGCAGGCAGCAGAAGGCAGGGGAAGCAGCUAAAGAUGUGACCAGGAAUCCUGUGCUUGUGACUGCUUGAGCUGAAAUGGGAAAAGCUCCUUUAGAGAGAUUGCUCAGCCACUGUUCCUUCUAAACCAGUGUGACUCCUGGUAGAUCACUGGCUGUUUGUCCCUCAUUCGGAGAAGGAAUGGCCUACAGUGGGGGACUUGGUAAGAACUCAGUUGAUGGAUCCCCUCCUUGCCUGUCUCAUCUGUAAAACAGGGAGUCAUUACAUAUAAAGAGUGGUGAAGAUUAAAUAAUAGACAUACGUGCUCAGUGACUGUAAAUGGGAGGCGUGAUUUUAGACUACUAAAGAAAAAAAUAAGUUAAUGGUUUCAAAAGCCCUAGGAGACUUAAUAGUAUUGUUCUUGUCAGAACCUUCUUCUUGGGGGUCAGAGAGACAGCUUAGUGGGCAAAGGCACCUACCAUCAAACCUGAUAACCCAAGUCUGAUUUCUAGAACCCACACAGUGGAAGGAGAGAAUUAAUUCCCACCUGCGGACCAGCUGAAACCACCUUUGCAUGCUCUGGGUCACCUUAUAAGAGAACUCACACCACCUCCUCUCUCUCUCUCUCUCUCUCUCUCUCUCUCUCUGUCUCUCUCUCUCCCCCUCUCUCCCACCCUACCCAGAGACAGUCUCUGCGACCCUUCCCCCUUCUGUUAAUAAA